RNAcentral lists this ribosomal RNA (302 nucleotides) under uncultured bacterium. Its description in RNAcentral is "bacterial SSU rRNA". It matches the Rfam family "Bacterial small subunit ribosomal RNA", at positions 30 to 334 of the family's 1533-position model. The record is from RNAcentral.
AUUGAACGCUGGCGGCAUGCCUUACACAUGCAAGUCGAACGGUAACAGGUCUUCGGACGCUGACGAGUGGCGAACGGGUGAGUAAUACAUCGGAACGUGCCCAGUCGUGGGGGAUAACUACUCGAAAGAGUAGCUAAUACCGCAUACGAUCUGAGGAUGAAAGCGGGGGACCUUCGGGCCUCGCGCGAUUGGAGCGGCCGAUGGCAGAUUAGGUAGUUGGUGGGAUAACGGCCUACCAAGGCGACGAUCAGUAGCCGGCCUGAGAGGGUGAACGGCCACAUUGGGACUGAGACACGGCCCAA